RNAcentral lists this long non-coding RNA (1324 nucleotides) under Rattus norvegicus (Norway rat). RNAcentral describes it as "long non-coding RNA NONRATT020035". Lineage: Eukaryota; Metazoa; Chordata; Mammalia; Rodentia; Muridae. The record is from RNAcentral.
GAAAGAAGUUUUAUGGGAAAGCAACCCUCUAAUUUUAUUCAAUAUGGUAAAACCUUGGCAUAUCAGAGUCAUACCCAAAGGCAUAAUGGAGAGAAGCUGUAUGGAUAUAAUCAAUGUGGUAAAGCUUUUGCAAAAAGGAGUCAUCUCAAAAACCAUGAAAGAACACAUAGUGGAGAAAAACCUUACGAGUGUAACCAAUGUUGCAAAGCCUUUGCACAAAGCAGUCAUCUCCAAAGACAUAUAAGAACACGUACAGGAGAGAAACCCUAUGAAUGUAACAAAUGUGGCAGAGCCUUUGCACAAAGCUGUAGUCUCCAAAAACAUAAUAGAACACACACAGGAGAGAAACCCUAUGAAUGUAACCAAUGUGGUAAAGCUUUUGUACGCAGAAGUACUCUCAAUAUACAUAAAAGAUCACAUAGUGGAGAAAAGUCUCAUGAAUAUAACCUAUGUGGCAAAGCCUUUGCACAAAGAAGUGCUCUCCAAAAACAUGAAAAAAUACAUAUAGGACAGAAACCCUAUGAAUGUAACCAAUGUGGUAAAGCUUUUGCUCGAAUGAGUCAUCUACAAAACCACAAAAGAAAUCAUACAGGAGAGAAACCCUAUGAAUGUAAUCAAUGUGGUAAAGCUUUUGCACAAAGAAGUACUCUCCAAAAACAAACACAUACUGGAGAGAAGCCCUAUGAAUGUAACCAAUGUGGUAAAACCUUUGCAGGAAGAAGUAAUCUCCAGUUACAUAAAAGAACACACACAGGAGAGAAACCCUAUGAAUGUAAGCAAUGUGGUAAAGCCUUUGUGCAAAAGUGUCAUCUGCAAAAACAUGAAAGAAAGCAUAUAAGAGAGAAACCCUUUUAGUGUACCCAAUAUGGUAAAGCUUUUUCACAAAGCAGUGGUCUCUAAAAUCUUAAAUGUAUACACACAAGAGAGAGACUUUUUGAAUGUAAACCAAUAUGGUUUUCUACCAUUUUCACAAAGCAGUGGCCUCCAAAUACAUAAACAAUCACAUACUAUGGAGAAACCUCAUGACUGUCAUCAAUGUUCUCUAGCCCUUUUACAUAACAAUCAUCUUCAAAUCCAUAAAAGAAUAUAUACUAGAGAAAACUGCUGACUGUACCUAAGGUGGUAAAGCCUUUGCCCAAAACAGUCAUUUCCUAGCACAUAAAAUAAUACAGAUUACCUAGAAACCCUAUGAAUAUAAAAAAUGUGGUAAACCUUUUGCAAGUCACAGUACUCUCCAAGUAAGUAAAAGAAGACACACUCAAGAGAAACCCUAUGAAUAUAAUCAAUGGGAUGAAGCCUUUGUACACUGCAAUCAUCUUUCAAA